GUAGUCCACGCUGUAAACGAUGGAUACUUGUUGUUAGAGGUAUUGACCCCUCUAGUGACGUAGCUAACGCGAUAAGUAUCCCGCCUGGGGAGUACGGUCGCAAGAUUAAAACUCAAAGAAAUUGACGGGGGCCCGCACAAGCGGUGGAGCAUGUGGUUUAAUUCGAUGCAACGCGAAGAACCUUACCCAGGCUUGACAUGAACAGGAAGGGUGACAGAAAUGUUCCCGCCCGCAAGGGUCUGUUCACAGGUGCUGCAUGGCUGUCGUCAGCUCGUGUCGUGAGAUGUUGGGUUAAGUCCCGCAACGAGCGCAACCCUUACCUUUAGUUGCCAGCAUUUAGUUGGGCACUCUAAAGGGACUGCCUGCGUUAAGCAGGA
RNAcentral lists this ribosomal RNA (377 nucleotides) under uncultured bacterium. Its description in RNAcentral is "bacterial SSU rRNA". It matches the Rfam family "Bacterial small subunit ribosomal RNA", at positions 790 to 1167 of the family's 1533-position model. The record is from RNAcentral.